AAUAUUGGACAAUGGGGGCAACCCUGAUCCAGCCAUGCCGCGUGUGUGAAGAAGGUCUUCGGAUUGUAAAGCACUUUAAGUUAGGAGGAAGGGCUUUAGGCUAAUACCCUGAAGUUUUGACGUUACCAACAGAAUAAGCACCGGCUAACUCAGUGCCAGCAGCCGCGGUAAUACAGAGGGUGCAAGCGUGAAUCGGAAUUACUGGGCGUAAAGCGCGCAUGGGUUGUGCAGUAGGAAGGGUGUGAAAUCCCCGGGCUUAACCUGGGAACUGCUUUCAUAACUGCUGGGCUAGAGUACGGUAGAGGGUAGUGGAAUUUCCUGUGUAGCGGUGAAAUGCGUAGAUAUAGGAAGGAACACCAGUGGCGAAGGCGACUACCUGGACUGAUACUGACACUGAGGUGCGAAAGCGUGGGGAGCAAAC
This 421-nucleotide ribosomal RNA is filed under the name uncultured bacterium. RNAcentral describes it as "partial 16S ribosomal RNA". It matches the Rfam family "Bacterial small subunit ribosomal RNA", at positions 360 to 773 of the family's 1533-position model. The record is from RNAcentral.